Molecule: ribosomal RNA, 253 nt
Filed under: uncultured bacterium
Lineage: Bacteria
Description: partial 16S ribosomal RNA
Rfam family: Bacterial small subunit ribosomal RNA
Source: RNAcentral
UACGAAGGGGGCUAGCGUUGUUCGGAAUCACUGGGCGUAAAGGGCGCGCAGGCGGCCAUUCAAGUCAGAUGUGAAAGCCCCGGGCUCAACCUGGGAGGUGCAUUUGGGACUGGAUGGCUUGAGAUCGGGAGAGGAGAGUGGAACUGCGAGUGUAGAGGUGAAAUUCGUAGAUAUUCGCAAGAACACCAGUGGCGAAGGCGGCUUACUGGUCCGGAUCUGACGCUGAGGCGCGAAAGCGUGGGGAGCAAACAGG